RNAcentral lists this ribosomal RNA (405 nucleotides) under uncultured bacterium. RNAcentral's name for it is "partial 16S ribosomal RNA". It matches the Rfam family "Bacterial small subunit ribosomal RNA", at positions 355 to 776 of the family's 1533-position model. The record is from RNAcentral.
UGGGGAAUAUUGGACAAUGGGGGCAACCCUGAUCCAGCAAUGCCGCGUGUGUGAAGAAGGCCUUCGGAUUGUAAAGCACUUUCGACGGGGACGAUGAUGACGGUACCCGUAGAAGAAGCCCCGGCUAACUUCGUGCCAGCAGCCGCGGUAAUACGAAGGGGGCUAGCGUUGCUCGGAAUGACUGGGCGUAAAGGGCGUGUAGGCGGUUUACACAGUCAGAUGUGAAAUCCCCGGGCUUAACCUGGGAGCUGCAUUUGAUACGUGCAGACUAGAGUGUGAGAGAGGGUUGUGGAAUUCCCAGUGUAGAGGUGAAAUUCGUAGAUAUUGGGAAGAACACCGGUGGCGAAGGCGGCAACCUGGCUCAUGACUGACGCUGAGGCGCGAAAGCGUGGGGGAGCAAACAGG